UUGGGUCCAGCCGCGGCGGGAGCAGCCACCCCCCAAACUCUCCCCGCCGCUCUCCGAUAUCCCCCAAGAUGGCCGCCGAGGUGGGAUCGAUGUUUCAAUAUUGGAAGCAAUCGGAGCUGCGCCGGCUGCAGAAGGAGCUUAAUUCUGUUGCUUCAGAACUGGCUGCUCGGCAGGAAGAGAGUGAACAUUCUCAUAAACAUUUAAUUGAACUCAGCCGGGAAUUUAAGAAAAAUGUACCUGAGGAAAUCAGAGAGAUGGUGGCUCCUGUCUUACAGAGCUUCCAAGCAGAGGUGAUUGCGCUUAGUAAAAGAAGCAAGGAGGCUGAGACGGCUUUCCUCAGUGUUUACAAGCAAUUAAUUGGAGCACCAGACCCCGUUCCUGUCCUGGAGGUGGCGCAGAGCUCAGAAGAGAGGCUGCAGCAGGUCCAGUGCCUCAACCCCGAGAGCCCACCCCUGAAGGAGCUCAACAGGCAGCGGAAGAAGCAUCCAGAGCUCCUUGGCACCAAAGAGCAAAGAGGGGGAACGUCUCCAGCUGGGCUCACAGUGUCAGAGGGAGCCAGGCUCACUAGCAUCAGCAGCAAAGCACUUUUCACAGACACCUUGCUGCAGAGAAAUGAAGCCGAAAAACAGAAGGGACUGCAGGAAGCCCAGAUCACUUUGGCGGCUAGGCUGGGGGAAGCAGAAGAAAAGAUCAAAGUGCUACAUGCAGCGCUGAAGGCGACCCAGACGGAGCUGCUCGACCUGCGGUGUAAAUAUGAUGCAGAGGCGGCUUCAAAGGCAGAUGAAGUAGCAAUGAUCAUGACAAACCUUGAAAAAGCCAAUCAGCGAGCGGAGGCAGCCCAGAGGGAGGUGGAGAGCCUGCGGGAGCAGCUCGCAUCUGUAAAUAGUUCCAUUCGCCUGGCCUGUUGCUCUCCACAAGGACCCAGCGGGGAUAAAGUGAACUAUUCGCUGUGCUCAGGGCCUAGGCUCGAGGCUGCGCUGGCGGCAAAGGACCGGGAGAUUCUCCGACUCCUCAAGGACAUUCAGCACCUCCAGAACUCCCUGCAAGAGCUGGAAGAGUCCUCGGCCAACCAGAUCGCGGACCUGGAGCGGCAGCUCACGGCCAAGAAUGAAGCAAUCGAAAAGCUGGAAGAGAAAUUGCAGGCCCAGUCUGACUACGAGGAGAUUAAAACUGAGCUGAGCAUCCUGAAGGCCAUGAAGCUGGCGUCUGCGAACUGCAGCCUUCCCCAGAGCAUAUCGAAAUCUGACGAAGCGCUGCUUCUAGACAAAGAAUCUUUCUAUUCAUCCCAGAAAUACAUUUUGGAAAAGCCAAAUCUCUUAGCCAACACUGAGGAGGAUCAUUCUGAGGACGAGUUGGUGAAGGAUUCCGUGGGCCCGGAGCAGUCCUACCCCUCUCCCCAGCAGCUCUCUCAGCCCCCCGGGGAAGACCCUGCCUCCCUCAGCCCCCUCCAGCCUCUGCUGGUCCCCACCGUGGCCCAGGAAGCCCAGAGGACUUUCUCGUUGUCCCCUUUCCCCAGCAUGGCUGCGGGCGAGCGGCUGCCGACGGACGCCUUGCUCCCCAAGCAAAUGGUUCCACCAGCGUACAAGAGCGAGAACGGCAGCAUGCUGGCCUUCCCCUCCCCCUUCUACACGGCCAAAGGCCCCCUGCUGCCCGCCAACCCCAGCCACACUGCCCCCACCAGCGACUCGAGCCCACCCAGCGACCAGUCGGAAGGCAGCAGCGCCAGCUCGGCCGACGAGGAGCAGCUGGACACGACCGAGAUCGCCUUCCAAGUCAAGGAGCAGCUGCUGAAACACAACAUCGGGCAGCGCGUCUUUGGCCAUUACGUCCUGGGGCUCUCGCAGGGCUCCGUCAGCGAGAUCCUGGCCAGGCCCAAGCCCUGGCGCAAGCUGACAGUGAAGGGGAAGGAGCCAUUCAUCAAGAUGAAGCAGUUCCUCUCCGAUGAGCAGAACGUGCUGGCGCUGAGGACCAUUCAGGUGCGCCAGCGAGGUAGCAUUACGCCGAGGAUUAGAACUCCAGAAACCGGCUCUGACGAUGCCAUCAAAAGUAUCCUGGAACAAGCAAAGAAAGAGAUUGAGUCUCAGAAGGGAGGUGAAACCAAGAGCUCGGCUGCUCCCCAGGUGGUCACCAACGGCAACAGCAACUCAGAAGAGGCCAUUAAAAACAUCCUGGAGCAGGCCCGGCGGGAGAUGCAGGCCCAGCAGCAGGCCCUGCUGGAGAUCGAGUCCGGCAGCAGGCCCAUGGCCACGCCGCCCACAGAGCGCUCCACCUUGGCUGCCGUCAGCCAGAACAUUGUCCAGGCCUACAUCAAGCAAGAGGAGGGGACGCUGGGCACGGGCACCAGCUCCAGCUCCACGCAGACCCCCCUGACAGUGCUGUCCCCCGCCGCCUUCGUGCAGAGCAUCAUCCGCAAGGUCAAGUCGGAGAUAGGCGACGCUGGCUCCUAUUUCGACCAGCACUGGGCGUCGGAGAGGAGCCUACUCAGCCGGCCCUACACCUCAGUGUCGCCCUCCCUCUCCUCCUCCUCCAGCUACUCCAGCCUGGCCAACGGGCGGGCCUGGCCGCGGGGGGAGCCCAGCGAGGAGGAGCUGGCUGCGGGCGAGGACGAGCCCCACAAGGCUGUGGAGAUGAAGUCUGAAGGGGCCAGUGCAGAGCCGCAGAGUGCCAGCCGCCUCUCCUAUUACCCGGCGUAUGUCCCACGCACCCUCAAGCCAACCGUCCCACCGCUGACCCCAGAGCAGUACGAAAUGUAUAUGUACAGGGAGGUGGACACCCUGGAGCUGACCAGGCAGGUGAAGGAGAAACUGGCCAAGAAUGGAAUCUGCCAGAGGAUCUUCGGGGAAAAGGUGCUGGGCUUGUCCCAAGGAAGUGUGAGUGACAUGCUGUCCAGGCCCAAACCAUGGAGCAAGCUGACCCAGAAAGGCCGGGAACCAUUUAUCAGGAUGCAGUUGUGGCUUACUGAUCAGCUUGGCCAAGGGAUCAGCCAACAACCAAACCCGCCACAGGCCAGCCCUGGGGAGACCCAGUCUUCCCCCUCCCCACCGCCCAGCCCUUUGGAGCAAGACAAAAGCCCCCCAGAGCCACUCACUCUAACUCUGGAGAGCAGCAAAGAAAAUCAGCAACCGGAGAGCAGGUCGGCCUCGUCACUGAGUGGGAAGACGUGUCCCAACAGCCAAGCACCUGUGGGCAUCCAGGAAAUUGUCGCCAUGUCGCCCGAACUAGACACUUACUCCAUCACCAAGAAGGUCAAAGAGGUGUUAACGGACAACAAUCUAGGCCAGCGGCUGUUCGGGGAGAGCAUCCUGGGCCUGACGCAGGGCUCAGUUUCCGACCUCCUCUCCAGACCCAAGCCGUGGCACAAGCUGAGCCUGAAGGGCAGGGAGCCCUUCGUCCGCAUGCAGCUCUGGCUCAACGACCCUCACAACGUUGACAAGCUCCGCGACAUGAAGAAACUGGAGAAGAAAGCUUAUCUGAAGCGUCGCUAUGGGCUGAUCAGUGCCAGCUCUGAUAGCGAGUCUCCCAACACCCACUCCGAGUGCACCAGCCCCAGCCUCCAGCCCCAAGACCUCAGCCUUCUCCAGGUCAAAAAGCCCCGGGUGGUCCUAGCUCCAGAAGAGAAGGAGGCCCUGAAGAAGGCCUACCAGCUGGAGCCAUACCCAUCCCAGCAGACCAUCGAACUGCUCUCCUUCCAGCUGAACCUCAAGACCAACACGGUCAUCAACUGGUUCCAUAACUACAGGUCCCGGAUGCGCCGGGAAAUGCUAGUGGAAGGGGCCCAAGACAACGACACAGACCUGGAGCCGAGCAGCUGUGGGAGUGUCGUGCCUGGCAGCAAUUCGGACAGAGUCCCCAACCCGCUGAGCCCUGAUUCGGAGGGGGAGGACAGGAAGCCCGUCUUCAGAGACACGAAGCACAGAGGGCCGAGCGAGACCCUGAUCAGGGUCAAGCAGGAGCAGAUGGAGGUGGGGGAGAAGGGCGACCGUUACAAUCACCGGGACUCUUGCAGCCUGGAGCGGGAGACGGAGCACAUGGUGGCGUCCAUCCAGCAUCCCCGGCUUCUCAAAGAAGAGCGGGUGGAUGCCGCCUGUGCAGAGGCCACUCAGGACACUCCCCAAAGCACUGCCAGCCUCACCAGGAGCAGCGCUUUGUACAGCACAGCGCACGCCGCUGGCACUCCCGACUGCUCUGCCCUUCAUCCACCCCAGGAAUCAGAAGGUGGAGAGCGGCUGCACCCUGACCCCAUUAGCUUUAAAUCCGCCUCGGAGUCCUCCCGCUGCAGCCUAGAGGUCUCUCUGAACUCGCCCUCAGCUGCCUCCUCUCCGGGCCUCAUGAUAUCCGUCUCGCCAGUCCCGUCCUCCUCUGCUCCCAUCUCUCCGUCACUGCCAAACACCACCUCCGCCAAGGUGCAGAGUUCAAGUCCUGCCGCAGAUACGGGCUCUUUACAGCAGAGUGUCAAGCUGAACACAACCAUCCAGCGGAGACACGAGAAAAUGGCCAACCUCAACAACAUCAUCCACAGGCUAGAAAAGGCAGCCAAUCGGGAGGAGACCCUGGAGUGGGAAUUCUGAACAGCUGGGCAGCAGCUGAAGAACAAGGAUCUGAUUGGUUGCUUUCGUUGGUGACAAUUUUAAACUUUCUGGAACACGUUGAUGGAACAGGGAGCCCUACUGGCGUGUGUAUAUAUAUAUAUAUUUUGUUAAUUUCAUCACAUGCUGAGGACAAAAGAAAAACCCAUUUGGUUAAUAAGAAAGGGAAGGAAAAAUAGCAUGUAGCUUCUGAAUCUUCACACCUGAUGAAAGGGAACAAAAAUAAAUAAAACCUGAGCUUUGUUUUAAAUGUGAAAAACUGGAUACACUUUUAGAAAAAAAAAAUAUUUAUAGACCUCUUUUAGAUAUUUUAAUAAAAGGAUACUUUGGAAUUUAUUAACAGCUUACGCUGUUUUGAUAUUAAAGAUAGCUAUAAAAUCAAGAUGAUGUAGCAGUUGUGUCAUUAAAUGUACACUGAAGUCUUGUAGUUUGCCACUGGAAGAGAUUAAAAAAAAAAAAGACAUUGAUCAAAGCCAUCGAGAAGCACUAUAAGACUGACCAAAUUUAAUAAACUUUUGACUAGCGGUUUUUCCACAUUUGUCUGUAAGACACUGCAUUGCUACUCUCCUUUCCAGAGACUGUGGUAUAGUCCGUGAAGACUCUAAAUUGAAACCCUUGAUGCCAUCGAGUCUGUAUUUAAUUCUGGUGGUAUGUUUUGAACCCUGUGUAACACAGAAUGUCACGUGCAGUUGUAUAUGUUGUAGAAAAUGUCUGCAAUAGCCUUCCUGAACAAGCUGUAGCAUGGUCCAUAACCAAUUCCUUCUACUUCCUCUCGUGCGUAACCCGUGACAAACCGAAAAGAACGAAACAAUUUCAGCGGUUGGCGGCAAAGCUUUCUGUCCGUUUGAAAAACAAACACAAAAAAUGAAAUAACCCAUAUCUCUGAUUUUGGGAGGGAGAAGGGAAAGGUUCACGGGUGCAAAAUGUCUUUUGACGUGUCUGGUUUGAUAGUAACGUACAUUAACAAUGAUCAUGACAUCGCAAGAUAUUUUUUUUAUGCAUGAGCAUCACCUCCUUUGGUGAGUGGGCGUCGGCCAGCAGGACACGUUAACUCUGAGCUUUCAAUGCCAGUGCUUGGGGAAAAGCACUCAAAAAAUAGAAACCACUGGCUCGCCUCCGGAGUCGGAAUCUGUUUGUUUUUACCUUAGGUAGUUCCAGCCUUUGAGGCAGAAGCACCUUUAUGUUGCUAGAUUUUGGGCUCUAGAAAGAGUGCCAAGGAAUGAGGAUUAUCCUCCAGGUUUGAAUCCGUCAGCAAAUGGCUUUAUUUACAUGUUAUGGCUUCUGCAUGUCAAAUAGGUCCUCAACUGUUCUCUACAGCAACGCUUGGUUGAAGUUACAGUCUAAGGCCAACCGCCUUCCCCCUGCACUGAGUGAAGGGUAUAAAUCCUGGACAGUAGAAAGGCAGUGCUGCAGCACCUAGGGGCACUUGCUUCCACCCCACCCCCACUUUGCAGUGGGCGCCGUUACAACAAAUUGCCCUCUGGUACCCACAGUGUCUUCCCGUGCUUAGGUAGGAGGUCCUUGGUAAUCGACCGGGGCCCUGAUUCAGCAAAGCCCUUUUAAGCACAUGCUUUGACUUCAGUAAAGCCUAAGCAUGCGUGUGAGGUUACACGUCAGUGUUUUGCUGAACUGCGGCCUUCGGGCCUGAUCCAGAGCUCGCUGAAGAGUGCAGGAGUCUUGCCAUUGAUUUCCAGGGGCUUUGGAUCAGGCUUUCAUUACAGAGAGGCACAUGCUGAGUUAUCAGCCAUCGGAUCAGACAUUUUAGCAGCAUCAGUUGCACAUGUAUCUCUGUGCUGUUGAAUUGCCCCUGCAAUGGAUUUUUCUCCCAUUCUCGCAGCUAAGGACUGUUGAAUAGACCAAGAUCUAUCUUAAUCCGUGCCAGUGAUCAAGCCCCGGCUAACGCAAUGCCUUUCAAAGAAGACUGGUUUAAAUGAAUUGUGUUGGUUUGUUCAGUGCUGGGCGAGGGCUUUUAACAGCCUUUGGCAAGGACCAGAAGGCAGCAUGCAAAGACCUACCCAUUCUCUCCCUUCACAGAUGCAGCCAGUUAAAAAUCUCCGCACCGAAUGGCAACUGAAGUGUCGUGAGUGCACAUCUGCCAGGCACAGAGGCGAUGCAUGGAAUACUUUUUUCCACUGUAUACAUUUUUAUCAGAAUAGAAGGUAUUUUUAUACUCGGGUGGUAGUUAAUGACCAAUUUUAAAAGCAAAUCCAUUUGACUCCAUGACGGCCAGGAUCCAUCUGCCAUAUUUUAGCAACCAUAGCCCUGUCUGAACAAGUGAGAGCUUGUCUAACGGAACAAUUUGUAUGGUUUCAAACCCCAACAUGCCAUAGAAGGGCGAGGCAUACACGUUGGCUACUAUUCUUAGUGUGCUAGUUGUUAGCUUUAGUGGAACGGGAUUUGAUUAAGCACUUAGUCUAGUUUUUGAACACAGGAAUCCUGUUGUACUAAAAGCUAGUGGGACAUGUUGAUCACUUUUUGUUAGGCUCAUGUACUGUACUUAAAAAGUUUCUAUGAGAUUGAUGAACUUUGUUAAAAAUUUUAAAAGGAACAAGUUCUGUAAAGAGCCACUAAAUACAGAAGUUGUAUAAUAACUUUGGUGUUUCGGUCUGUUUUGUUCUGAGUUGGUUCCUAAGCAAUCCCUUUCCUCCCUCAUCUCCCUGCUUUCUGAACCUGCAAGGAGUUAGUUCUUGAUGACACAACACACCAUGGAUAUAUGAUGUGUCAUGUCUAGGGCCCAGCUACAUCCUGUACAGUCCUCCCCCAGUGCUGCGCUAGGGAUGGGCUGAACCAAACCCCUCACUCCAAACAGCCCUGGACCCGGAGCAGCGUUCAGAAUCCAACUGUGGAGCUGGAUUUGAAUUCUGCAACCAGCCCCAAGCUAACCAUGGCACAAACUAACCCCCAACAGCCAACCCACCCCAAAUCCAGAGCCCAGGGGCCAUCUCUACCAAUGCCCUGUCUUUCCGCAAGCAGUUCACGCUGCACUUCCGCUGCAGGGAUGUUCCAGCUGCUAGCCGGCCGGCAGGGUUAGGCAAAGCCAAAUCCCAGCCAUGCUCAUGCUAUGAGCUCCGGAAGCCCAAAGAGAGCGAUGAAGCGAGGCGCAGAGGCUUUGGAUUAGCAGGCGUAGCCAUUCUCUUGUGUUGGGCUUUGGUCAUUCGUUCCCCAUUCUCCCCCUGCCCCCAGCAUACCCGAAAACGAACACUGGCCGCCCAAGAGACAGCAGCGGUGAGGUAGCAGGAGCCGCACAGCCCCGGAGGGAGAACAAGCAACAGCAUCUCUAGCACGGCAGUGUGAGAGACAAAGCAAGUCCUGCUGCAUGGAGCAUGGCUACAGCCUAGGUCAGCGUCUUUCCCGCCUCCCUGCAAGGAGCCAACCCCACCUGUGUCUGCACCUCAGCAUGGAGCUGCCUUUCUGCUCUGGCUCACAGCUCAUUUUCCUGUAUCGCUCGCCUCUGGGCCUCCUGCCGCGGAUGCUGCGGUUCACGCUGGCAUAGAUCCCACCUGCGCUGCCACCAUCUCGGGCACAGCAUCAAGGCCACUGCCGCUGGAUUUCCCCCUUCAUGGGCCACCAAGAGCACCUGGCUUCAGGCUGUCGGCUCCUACAAUCAUCCAUAACCUUAAUGUGACCAGGGCGUUCAAGGCGAUUGCCCUGUCAGUUACAGGUCGCCCCCAGAGGCCCAGUCACUGAUUGGCUGCUAGAUGCUUCACAACUACACAAUGGGAGAUGCUCCGUAACGGGGCGGGCUGCCCCCGGAAGGGCUGGGAAGCAGCCAGCCCCAUUCUGAAGAGGAGCCUAGCAGGCAGGUGCUGGGAAUCGCCUGUCCCAGCUGGAUAGCAUCAGAUGAUUGGAGCUAAGCUAGCUAGGAGAUAUAAACAAGGGC
RNA transcript from Gopherus flavomarginatus (Mexican gopher tortoise), 8466 nucleotides. It is a transcript of the gene named cut like homeobox 2, with no coding region annotated. NCBI's taxonomy places the organism in Eukaryota, Metazoa, Chordata, Testudines, Testudinidae. The record is from RefSeq and is a predicted model, not a curated record. The transcript has 23 exons.